This 501-nucleotide ribosomal RNA is filed under the name uncultured bacterium. Its description in RNAcentral is "partial 16S ribosomal RNA". It matches the Rfam family "Bacterial small subunit ribosomal RNA", at positions 30 to 523 of the family's 1533-position model. The record is from RNAcentral.
AUUGAACGCUGGCGGCAUGCCUUACACAUGCAAGUCGAACGGCAGCACGGGUGCUUGCACCUGGUGGCGAGUGGCGAACGGGUGAGUAAUAUAUCGGAACGUACCUUAUUGUGGGGGAUAACGCAGCGAAAGCUGUGCUAAUACCGCAUAAUCCCUAAGGGGGAAAGCGGGGGACCGUAAGGCAUCGCGCAAUCAUAGCGGCCGAUACCUGAUUAGCUAGUUGGUGAGGUAAAGGCUCACCAAGGCAACGAUCAGUAGCUGGUCGGGGAGGACGAUCAGCCACACUGGGACUGAGACACGGCCCAGACUCCGACGGGAGGCAGCAGUGGGGAAUUUUGGACAAUGGGGGCAACCCUGAUCCAGCAAUGCCGCGUGAGUGAAGAAGGCCUUCGGGUUGUAAAGCUCUUUUGUCAGGGAAGAAACAGCAGCUCUAACACAGUUUGCGAAUGACGGUACCUGAAGAAUAAGCACCGGCUAACUACGUGCCAGCAGCCGCCGUAA